AGGGCGAGUGUGUCCAUCUACCCUUGUAGACCAUUAAGCGGAAGCGUUUGUAACACAACUAUUGUAGUCGUACUCUUCACGAUCCAAUCACGAUCCACUCCGAUACAACGCCGAACGAACGACACCUCCGGGUGCAGCACAUGUGCGGCUCAAUGACAUCUCCACCUCCUUUAUCCAGCAAGCAAGGGAGGAGAAGUAGAUGGGAUCUUGACCAACACAACGACAUCCUGGAGAUGAUGGUGGAGUUGUGCCAGCAGGGCUUCGCCAAGCGUCUCCGAAAGUGUGAACCUUGAAGAACGUGAGAGACGGGAGGGAGAGGAAUGCCU
RNAcentral lists this long non-coding RNA (326 nucleotides) under Hordeum vulgare. RNAcentral's name for it is "long non-coding RNA (HVUL_LNC006658)". The record is from RNAcentral. Lineage: Eukaryota; Viridiplantae; Streptophyta; Magnoliopsida; Poales; Poaceae.